Molecule: non-coding RNA, 69 nt
Organism: Ictidomys tridecemlineatus (thirteen-lined ground squirrel)
Lineage: Eukaryota; Metazoa; Chordata; Mammalia; Rodentia; Sciuridae
Source: Rfam
GGGAUUGUAGCUCCGUGGUAGAGUGCUUGCCUCACAUGCAUGAGGUCCUGGGUUCGAUCCUCAGCACCA